UGUAGAGGGGGGUUGAAUUCAGGUGUAGCCGUGAAAUGCGUAGAGAUCUGAAGGAAUACCAGUGGCGAAGGCGGCCCCCUGGACAAAGACUGACGNUCAGAUGCGAAAGCGUGGGUAGCAAACAGGAUUAGAUACCNUGGUAGUCCACGCNGUAAACGCUGUCUACUUGGAGGUUGAGGUUUAGACUUUGGCUUUCGGCGCUAACGCAUUAAGUAGACCGCCUGGGGAGUACGGCCGCAAGGUUAAAACUCAAAUGAAUUGACGGGGGCCCGCACAAGCGGUGGAGCAUGUGGUUUAAUUCGAUGCAACGCGAAGAACCUUACCUACUCUUGACAUCCAGCGAAGCCUUCAGAGAUAGAGGCGUGCCUUCGGGAGCUCUGAGACAGGUGCUGCAUGGCUGUCGUCAGCUCGUGUUGUGAAAUGUUGGGUUAAGUCCCGCAACGAGCGCAACCCUUAUCCUUGUUUGCCAGCACAUAAUGGUGGGAACUCCAGGGAGACUGCCGGUGAUAAACCGGAGGAAGGUGGGGACGACGUCAAGUCAUCAUGGCCCUUACGAGUAGGGCUACACACGUGCUACAAUGGCAGAUACAGAGGGCAGCGAAGCUGCGAAGUGGAGCGAAUCCCUUAAAGUCUGUCGUAGUCCGGAUUGGAGUCUGCAACUCGACUCCAUGAAGUCGGAAUCGCUAGUAAUCGUGGAUCAGAAUGCCACGGUGAAUACGUUCCCGGGCCUUGUACACACCGCCCGUCACACCAUGGGAGUGGGCUGCACCAGAAGUAGAUAGCUUAACCUUCGGGAGGGCGUUUA
Molecule: ribosomal RNA, 805 nt
Filed under: Salinivibrio sp. ML329
Lineage: Bacteria; Pseudomonadati; Pseudomonadota; Gammaproteobacteria; Vibrionales; Vibrionaceae
Description: bacterial SSU rRNA
Rfam family: Bacterial small subunit ribosomal RNA
Source: RNAcentral